This 109-nucleotide small nuclear RNA is filed under the name Fukomys damarensis (Damara mole-rat). Lineage: Eukaryota; Metazoa; Chordata; Mammalia; Rodentia; Bathyergidae. The record is from RNAcentral.
UUAUGCUCACUUUGGCCUUACAUAUACAAAACUGGAGCAACAAAGAAAAGAUUAGCACGGCUCCUGUGUGCAAGGAUGGCCGCAACUUCCGGGAGUGCUCUAUAUUUGU